GCUGAUUCGCCCAGAACGAUGACACGCCCACGAAACGCCCACAAUGUUCCUACCCUCUUAUUUUCUCCUUAAUUUUUCUCGCUUGCCUAUUAUUUUGCCAGGAGGGGCGGCAAUGCCAUGCAGCAUGUAGAUUGGGACGAGUAAACAUGGCGAUGGCAGACGAAGCAGACAUGGAAUUUGUUUCGAAUAUUAAAGAACUAUUUAUGAAACAAAAUAAGAAGUUAUGAAUAUUCUGAUCUUUUAAACAUAAUUAUAAUACAUGAGUAAG
Molecule: non-coding RNA, 268 nt
Organism: Paramuricea clavata
Lineage: Eukaryota; Metazoa; Cnidaria; Anthozoa; Malacalcyonacea; Plexauridae
Source: the annotation of a GenBank genome assembly